RNAcentral lists this ribosomal RNA (194 nucleotides) under uncultured eukaryote. RNAcentral's name for it is "partial 18S ribosomal RNA". It matches the Rfam family "Eukaryotic small subunit ribosomal RNA", at positions 1 to 192 of the family's 1831-position model. The record is from RNAcentral.
UAAACCUGGUUGAUCCUGCCAGUAGUCAUACGCUUGUCUCAAAGAUUAAGCCAUGCAUGUCUAAGUAUAAGCACCUUAUACUGUGAAACUGCGAAUGGCUCAUUAUAUCAGUAAUAGUUUAUUUGAUGGUCCCUUACUACCUGGAUACCCGUAGUAAUUCUAGAGCUAAUACAUGCACUACAUUCCCAACUGCU